GAGGAAGGCGGGCGGCGUGCCUAAUACAUGCAAGUCGAGCGAACGGACGAGAAGCUUGCUUCUCUGAUGUUAGCGGCGGACGGGUGAGUAACACGUGGAUAACCUACCUAUAAGACUGGGAUAACUUCGGGAAACCGGAGCUAAUACCGGAUGAUAUUUUGAACCGCAUGGUUCAAAAGUGAAAGACGGUCUUGCUGUCACUUAUAGAUGGAUCCGCGCUGCAUUAGCUAGUUGGUAAGGUAACGGCUUACCAAGGCAACGAUGCAUAGCCGACCUGAGAGGGUGAUCGGCCACACUGGAACUGAGACACGGUCCAGACUCCUACGGGAGGCAGCAGUAGGGAAUCUUCCGCAAUGGGCGAAAGCCUGACGGAGCAACGCCGCGUGAGUGAUGAAGGUCUUCGGAUCGUAAAACUCUGUUAUUAGGGAAGAACAUAUGUGUAAGUAACUGUGCACAUCUUGACGGUACCUAAUCAGAAAGCCACGGCUAACUACGUG
RNAcentral lists this ribosomal RNA (497 nucleotides) under uncultured bacterium. RNAcentral's name for it is "partial 16S ribosomal RNA". It matches the Rfam family "Bacterial small subunit ribosomal RNA", at positions 28 to 507 of the family's 1533-position model. The record is from RNAcentral.